CCCUUAGAUGUUCUGGGCCGCACGCGCGCUACACUGACUGGUGCAACAAGUGUCGCUCCUUGGCCGAUAGGCCUGGCAAUCUUUGAACGCUGGUCGUGAUGGGGAUAGACUUUUGCAAUUUUUGGUCUUCAACGAGGAAUUCCUAGUAAACGCAAGUCAUCAACUUGCAUUGAUUACGUCCCUGCCCUUUGUACACACCGCCCGUCGCACCUACCGAUUGAAUGGUCCGGUGAAGCCUCCGGAUUGGCGCGCACCUCGGUGCCGCCGAGAAGUUGGCUAAACCUUACCAUUUAGAGGAAGGUGAANUCGUANCA
Molecule: ribosomal RNA, 314 nt
Filed under: uncultured eukaryote
Lineage: Eukaryota
Description: partial 18S ribosomal RNA
Rfam family: Eukaryotic small subunit ribosomal RNA
Source: RNAcentral